GUGGCAGUAGCCCAGCGUUUGAGCCUUCGCUUGAUAUGCGAAGAGACCCGGGUGCAACUCCCGCCUGCUUCU
This 72-nucleotide transfer RNA is filed under the name Toxocara canis (dog roundworm). It matches the Rfam family "tRNA". Rfam says of the family: Transfer RNA (tRNA) molecules are approximately 80 nucleotides in length. Their secondary structure includes four short double-helical elements and three loops (D, anti-codon, and T loops). Lineage: Eukaryota; Metazoa; Nematoda; Chromadorea; Rhabditida; Toxocaridae. The record is from Rfam by way of RNAcentral.